RNAcentral lists this small RNA (557 nucleotides) under Pan troglodytes (chimpanzee). Its description in RNAcentral is "retained intron". Lineage: Eukaryota; Metazoa; Chordata; Mammalia; Primates; Hominidae. The record is from RNAcentral.
CCGGCUUCAAGGGGUUAAUUCUGGAUCUCAAGUAUGGAAACUCGGAGCCUCGGCUUCUGGGGAGCCGGGGUGUCCAGAUGGAUGCCGAGGGACCCUGUGGUGAGCGUCCCUGUGAAAAUGGUGGGAUCUGCUUUCUCCUGGACGGCCACCCCACCUGUGACUGUUCUACCACUGGCUAUGGUGGCAAGCUCUGCUCAGAAGAUGUCAGUCAAGAUCCAGGCCUCUCCCACCUCAUGAUGAGUGAACAAGCUCGAGAGGAGAAUGUGGCCACUUUCCGAGGCUCAGAGUAUCUGUGCUACGACCUGUCUCAGAACCCGAUCCAGAGCAGCAGUGAUGAAAUCACCCUCUCCUUUAAGACCUGGCAGCGUAACGGCCUCAUCCUGCACACGGGCAAGUCGGCUGACUAUGUCAACCUGGCUCUGAAGGAUGGUGCGGUCUCCUUGGUCAUUAACCUGGGGUCCGGGGCCUUUGAGGCCAUUGUGGAGCCAGUGAAUGGAAAAUUCAACGACAACGCCUGGCAUGAUGUCAAAGUGACACGCAACCUCCGGCAGGUAAUG